Papaver somniferum (opium poppy) is the source of this 838-nucleotide long non-coding RNA. RefSeq lists it as uncharacterized. The record is from RefSeq and is a predicted model, not a curated record. NCBI's taxonomy places the organism in Eukaryota, Viridiplantae, Streptophyta, Magnoliopsida, Ranunculales, Papaveraceae. The transcript is spliced from 2 exons.
AGGCCUACGAUCUAACGUCCUAAAAAAAUUCGAUAAACACCUACGUUCCGGAUGCAAGAGAUCCACAGAGGAUUAGUUGAGAUGAUUUUAUAUUACACCUGCCCCAUUCACGCCACUAUCUCAAGUUGUUUUCUUCCACUGGCUCUCUUCGCGUCCUUUACUACCAUCGCCAUUAAUACUAAGCAAAUAUUGAGAUGAUUUAUUCACCCCCAUUUUCUGUUCGUUCUCACAAUCAUCACUAAAUAGCACCUAUAUGUUUUCUUUCUUCCCCAAUUAAUUCCCUAAUCACCUGGGAACAAGAUCGAUAUACUCAGCCAACUAAAAUUAGAAAAUCACCUCUGUAAAUUAGAACAAGUACAAAAGAGAUCGAUCUCGAAGAUCAAAAACCCUAUCACCACAACUCAUUGGAGAUGUAUAAACAAAUUGAUGGCUAAUUAAUUUGGGGAUCUGAAAAGUCGAAUAAAGAAAUUGACAGCUAAAUUUUGGGAUCUGAAAAUCCUCAAUUGUUUGAUAAGAGAAGAAUUAAAAAGAAGAAAUUAAGAAGAAUUUCACAAAUGGAAAUAGGCGUAGCAAUAGGAUUCUGAAACGGUUGAAGAAUGAUGAGAAGAUUAGAGACAGGGAAAAUGGUGGUAGCGGAGUUUGGAGAAGAUGAGUUGGAGUCAGGGAAAAUGGUGGUGGCGGCGGCAUUUGGAUAAGAUGAGUUCUCAAGAAUAUGGAAUAAAUGCCAGGAAAGUGGAGGUUAUAAUAGUAAACUCGUCCACAAAUUUCAAAUUAUUUUUUGUUUUACUGUAUUUUUUUUAUAUUUUUUAAUAAUUUCUAAACGGAAGUUGAUAUUUAA